This 465-nucleotide ribosomal RNA is filed under the name uncultured bacterium. Its description in RNAcentral is "partial 16S ribosomal RNA". It matches the Rfam family "Bacterial small subunit ribosomal RNA", at positions 28 to 507 of the family's 1533-position model. The record is from RNAcentral.
GACGAACGCUGGCGGCGUGCUUAACACAUGCAAGUCGAACGGAAAGGCCCCUUCGGGGGUACUCGAGUGGCGAACAGGUGAGUAACACGUGAGUAACCUGCCCUUGACUUCGGGAUAACUUCAGGAAACUGGGGCUAAUACCGGAUAGGAAUCCUUGCUGCAUGGUGGGGGUUGGAAAGCUUCGGCGGUUUUGGAUGGACUCGCGGCUUAUCAGCUUGUUGGUGGGGUAGUGGCUUACCAAGGCUUUGACGGGUAGCCGGCCUGAGAGGGCGACCGGCCACAUUGGGACUGAGAUACGGCCCAGACUCCGACGGGAGGCAGCAGUGGGGAAUAUUGCACAAUGGGCGGAAGCCUGAUGCAGCAACGCCGCGUGCGGGAUGACGGCCUUCGGGUUGUAAACCGCUUUCAGCAGGGGCGAAGCUUGUGGUGACGGUACCUGCAGAAGAAGCACCGGCUAACUACGUG